UACGUAGGGGGCUAGCGUUGUCCGGAAUCAUUGGGCGUAAAGCGCGCGUAGGCGGCCCGGUAAGUCCGCUGUAAAAGUCAAAGGCUCAACCUCUGAAUGUCAGUGGAUACUGCCGGGCUAGAGUCCGGAAGAGGCGAGUGGAAUUCCUGGUGUAGCGGUGGAAUGCGCAGAUAUCAGGAGGAACACCAACGGCGAAGGCAGCUCGCUAGGACGGUACUGACGCUAAGGCGCGAAAGCGUGGGGAGCGAACAGG
Molecule: ribosomal RNA, 253 nt
Filed under: uncultured bacterium
Lineage: Bacteria
Description: partial 16S ribosomal RNA
Rfam family: Bacterial small subunit ribosomal RNA
Source: RNAcentral